AGAGUUUGAUCCUGGCUCAGAUUGAACGCUGGCGGAAUGCUUUACACAUGCAAGUCGAGCGGCAGCGCGGGGGCAACCCUGGCGGCGAGCGGCGAACGGGUGAGUAAUAUAUCGGAACGUGCCCAAUAGUGGGGGAUAGCCCGGCGAAAGCCGGAUUAAUACCGCAUACGACCUGAGGGUGAAAGCGGGGGAUCGCAAGACCUCGCGCUAUUGGAGCGGCCGAUAUCAGAUUAGGUAGUUGGUGAGGUAAAGGCUCACCAAGCCGACGAUCUGUAGCUGGUCUGAGAGGACGACCAGCCACACUGGGACUGAGACACGGCCCAGACUCCUACGGGAGGCAGCAGUGGGGAAUAUUGCACAAUGGGCGCAAGCCUGAUGCAGCGACGCCGCGUGGGGGAUGACGGCCUUCGGGUUGUAAACCUCUUUCAGUAGGGACGAAGCGCAAGUGACGGUACCUACAGAAGAAGCACCGGCCAACUACGUGCCAGCAGCCGCGGUAA
This 500-nucleotide ribosomal RNA is filed under the name uncultured bacterium. RNAcentral's name for it is "bacterial SSU rRNA". It matches the Rfam family "Bacterial small subunit ribosomal RNA", at positions 8 to 523 of the family's 1533-position model. The record is from RNAcentral.